This 445-nucleotide ribosomal RNA is filed under the name uncultured bacterium. RNAcentral describes it as "bacterial SSU rRNA". It matches the Rfam family "Bacterial small subunit ribosomal RNA", at positions 330 to 792 of the family's 1533-position model. The record is from RNAcentral.
UCCAGACUCCUACGGGAGGCAGCAGUGGGGAAUAUUGCACAAUGGGGGAAACCCUGAUGCAGCGACGCCGCGUGAGUGAGGAAGUAUUUCGGUAUGUAAAGCUCUAUCAGCAGGGAAGAAAAUGACGGUACCUGACUAAGAAGCCCCGGCUAACUACGUGCCAGCAGCCGCGGUAAUACGUAGGGGGCAAGCGUUAUCCGGAUUUACUGGGUGUAAAGGGAGCGUAGACGGAAUUGCAAGUCUGAUGUGAAAAUCCGGGGCCCAACCCCGGAACUGCAUUGGAAACUGUAUUUCUAGAGUGUCGGAGAGGCAAGUGGAAUUCCUGGUGUAGCGGUGAAAUGCGUAGAUAUCAGGAGGAACACCGGCGGCGAAGGCGGCUUACUGGACGGCAACUGACGUUGAGGCCCGAAAGCGUGGGGAGCGAACAGGAUUAGAUACCCCAGUA